AAUAUGGUAGGAUAUUAAAAGUCUGUAAGAUUCAUGCUCUUGAGGUUGAUCUGUAUUU
This 58-nucleotide transfer RNA is filed under the name Chandlerella quiscali. RNAcentral describes it as "tRNA-Met". Lineage: Eukaryota; Metazoa; Nematoda; Chromadorea; Rhabditida; Onchocercidae. The record is from RNAcentral.